Molecule: ribosomal RNA, 237 nt
Filed under: uncultured bacterium
Lineage: Bacteria
Description: partial 16S ribosomal RNA
Rfam family: Bacterial small subunit ribosomal RNA
Source: RNAcentral
UCCUACGGGGGGCAGCAGUGGGGAAUAUUGCACAAUGGGGGAAACCCUGAUGCAGCGACGCCGCGUGAGUGAAGAAGUAAUUCGUUACGUAAAGCUCUAUCAGCAGGGAAGAAAAUGACGGUACCUGAGUAAGAAGCCCCGGCUAACUACGUGCCAGCAGCCGCGGUAAUACGUAGGGGGCAAGCGUUAUCCGGAUUUACUGGGUGUAAAGGGAGCGUAGACGUUGCGCCAAGUCUG